AUGAACGCUGGCGGCGUGCCUAAUACAUGCAAGUCGAGCGAACAGACGAGUAUCUUUCUCCUCUUACGUUAGCGGCGGACUGGUGAGUAACACGUUGAUAACCUACCUAUAAUACUGUGUUAACUUCGGGAAACCUGAGCUAAUACCGGAUAAUAUAUUUCACCGCAUGUUUCAAUAGUUAAAUUCGUUUUUUCUUUCCCUUAUUUAUUGAUCCCCGCCUCAUUAGCUAGUUGGUAAGGUAACGGCUUACCAAGGCAACGAUGCGUAGACGACCUGAGAGGGUGAGAGGCGACACUGGAACUGAGACACGGUAAAGAGAACUACGGGAGGCAGCAGUAGGGAAUAGACCGCAAUGGGCGAAAGCAUGACGGAGCAAAGCCGAGUGAGUGAUGAAGGACUACGGAUCGUAAAACAAUGUUAGUAGGGAAGAAAAAAAGUGUAAGAAAAUAUGCAGGAAUUGACGGUAACUAAUAAGAAAGCAACGGCUAAAUACGUG
RNAcentral lists this ribosomal RNA (496 nucleotides) under uncultured bacterium. Its description in RNAcentral is "partial 16S ribosomal RNA". It matches the Rfam family "Bacterial small subunit ribosomal RNA", at positions 29 to 507 of the family's 1533-position model. The record is from RNAcentral.